UCCCCGUUACCGGGGCAGUCUAGCUAGAAAAAUUCAACUAACUAUAAGGGUUGCGCUCGUUGAUGGACUUAACCAAACAUCUCACGACACGAGCUGACGACGGCCAUGCAACACCUGUCACUAGAUUCCCGAAGGCACUCUCUGCUUUCGCAGAAAUUCCUAGGAUGUCAAACCUGGGUAAGGUUCUUCGCUUAUCGUCGAAUUAAACAACACGCUCCACCGCUUGUGCGGGUCCCCGUCAAUUCCUUUAUGUUUUAGUCUUGCGACCGUACUCCACAGGCGGGAUGCUUAACGCGUUAGCUUCGCUACUACCAGGGUCGAUACUGGUAACAGCUAGCAUCCAUCGUUUACGGCGUGGACUA
Molecule: unclassified non-coding RNA, 362 nt
Filed under: uncultured bacterium
Lineage: Bacteria
Description: contains 16S-23S intergenic spacer region
Source: RNAcentral